RNAcentral lists this long non-coding RNA (2513 nucleotides) under Gallus gallus (chicken). Its description in RNAcentral is "lncRNA (ENSGALG00010025077.1)". Lineage: Eukaryota; Metazoa; Chordata; Aves; Galliformes; Phasianidae. The record is from RNAcentral.
GAAGUAAGUGUGUAAUUCUGUACAGAAAAUACUUGCUCCGCAGAAUGGAGACACACACUGACAGUUUCAUUCCACUUGUAUCCUAUUUCCUUCCUAUUCAGCUCUUGGAGCUAUUUACACUUGUAAAAGAAGAGUCCUGAUGAGUCUAAGGCCCUUGCAACCCUAAGCUUCAGCACCACAACAGGGAAGAAAUGCAGAAAAAGACAAGGUUGUGGCAGUCAUCUACAACUUGAGGAGUGGUUUAUUUUGUACGUGUGGCUUGAUUCCAGUUUGCCUGCCCUGCCAGUAUUUCCACCUAGGAGCAGGGAAACAGAAAGUAGGUUUUCUCCCACCAGAGCCUCAUUUCUUAAAUUUCCUUUUCUUAGUGAAGAAAAUAAUUAUCUAUUUAUUAAAAUGGGAGAUAGAAGGACAAUGAAAAUGAUACCCUUAACAGAUAAGGUAACACUCUUGGUAGCGUUCGCUUUAAUACCAGUUUUGGGUAGACCUGUGUAUUUCUGACAGGAAGUUUUCCCACCUGUAAAAAAAGUCAUGGCUACCUCCCUCAAAAUGCCAUCUGGCUGGAAUACCCAUUUUGUGCUUUCUUCAUAUAGUUUAUUCUUUUCUUCAUAUACUUGAUUUUCUUCAUUGCUAUUCUAAUAAUUUAACUUUCUCAUAGAUGUAGCAUUAAAUUGCAUACUAAUUACAGGCAUGCUAUUGUAGAAUAAAUUCAGUUCUAAGUAUGUGACAGAAAAGAGACUGAAAACAGUGCCUAAUAAGAGCUCUUGAAGUAACGUCCUAACACCACACUAUUACAUAAGAAAUAAUUAAUGAAAAACAAACAACGCAGUUUUUUAAUAUACUUAGCUCACAUGAGUGUUGAUCAACUGUUGGGAUAAAUGAUACAAAAUAAAGCCUAAAAUCAAAAGGCCACAUAAGGUCUGAACAGAAAGAUAUUGCUGAGUACUGCGAAUAGUGGCAAUGUAUCAGUUUCCCACAGGAAAAGAGCAAAGUCCCAAGGCUAAUCUUGUACUAGCUCCUGCUGCAUGGUGAUUACUCACAUUCAGAGUGUGGCUAGUAAGGAUUUUUCUUCCCCAGGACAAACAAGGCUAAAGUUUGUAAUUUUUCCUCAGUUCCACAAGAGCUCCAUACUACUUCUCUUUGACUGAGAAAGCAUCCAUCUACUUUUCCUUCCUGGCAUUUGUAUCCAAAUUGAUGGUAUCUUGAUUGCAUUGCAUCUAGAUGCUGCCCCUUGUUUCAUAAACAAGAAAACUUUCAUUCUAGCACCUGUCAAAUGUUAGCCAUUAGUUCAUCAUUAUGGAACUGUGUGCCAUCAAAAACAGAUUAUGGUAUUCCAAAACUUAACUCCCAUGAAAUGUAAAGAUGAACAAUGCUACUUCCCAGUGACCUGGGACAAAAGAGGCCUGGGGUUCCAAGUGAGGAUACAGAACUAUUAGCCAUGACUCCCAGCAGUCAUGUUAUUAGAACACUUCAUUCUCUUCAUCUUUUGUUCCAUUUCUCUGUGUUUGUACAGGUGAGGAGAUAAGCUGAAACUCACCAGGAUUACUUUUCUGCACGUGUAGUUACAGCAGUUGGACCGAGAUGAGCCAUCAUCACCGAGGUGCAGAGCAGCAGACUGGUGAGAUCAUUCCUUUUACACUCACUCACACAGAGGCAGAAUCAGUUUCCAAGCCCAACUUUCUAUUUUCUCCGAUCCGCGCAGGAGAAAGAGGCUAAAAGUUGAGUUACAGCAUUCCUUCUUGCAAGUGGCAGCCAGCACAAGACAGCAUUACAAUUCACAAAACUGUGUUUGACAACAUUAAGUGAUCUCCCAGCAACAAAAAAAGGCGUUUUCCUCUUUCCUGAACUCUUGAGAAAACUUUCCUGAGGGAUUUCCCAUGGGAAACGAUCCCAGUUGCACAUAACAGGCAGUGCGGUGGUCCCUGCAGCCGGGCACCCCUGCACGCUAUUUUUCCAUGCAGCUGCCCACCUGGCUCCUCUCACUUCCCUCAGCCCUCCCAGCUGCACAAACAGAGGGGCACGCAGCCAUCUCAACGCGCUUCCUCCUGCGGCCCUGCAGGGCGGGCCGGCCGGCCGUCCUGCUCGUACAGCAACUGCUUUAACGGCCCGAGACAUCCAGCUCUUCCCCAUUACGUGCACCACGGGACCGGGCUGCUCCCCGCAGCGCGCACGCGGCUCGGGCCCUACCGGGCAGCGCUCAGCAGCGCGCUCAGCGCCUGUGUGGCCACGAAGGCUGGAAGCGAGCGCGCCCGCUCUGCGCUGAGGUCUGCGUUCGGUCUCUAUUCAGCACGUGUAAACGUCAGUGCGGGGUGAAAAGAGAAACUGCAACGAAUGUCUGGAAAGCUGAGCGCUCAGUCCUCGGCAGGAAUCCGGACUCUGCUAGAGGCUCCUCAGACACCCGGCAAUCACAGAGCCGUUGAGGCUGGAGACGAGCACUGAGACGGGCACGGCCGCUAAGCGCGCCCCUCAGCGCCGCACCUGCGCGGCUGUCCCCACCACCCCCCGGCAGUCCUCCG